UACGUAGGUGGCAAGCGUUAUCCGGAUUUACUGGGUGUAAAGGGCGUGUAGGCGGGGACGCAAGUCAGAUGUGAAAACCACGGGCUCAACCUGUGGCCUGCAUUUGAAACUGUGUUUCUUGAGUACUGGAGAGGCAGACGGAAUUCCUAGUGUAGCGAUGAAAUGCGUAGAUAUUAGGAGGAACACCAGUGGCGAAGGCGGUCUGCUGGACAGCAACUGACGCUGAGGCGCGAAAGCGUGGGGAGCAAACAGG
Molecule: ribosomal RNA, 253 nt
Filed under: uncultured bacterium
Lineage: Bacteria
Description: partial 16S ribosomal RNA
Rfam family: Bacterial small subunit ribosomal RNA
Source: RNAcentral